RNAcentral lists this ribosomal RNA (403 nucleotides) under uncultured bacterium. RNAcentral's name for it is "bacterial SSU rRNA". It matches the Rfam family "Bacterial small subunit ribosomal RNA", at positions 917 to 1322 of the family's 1533-position model. The record is from RNAcentral.
GGGCCCGCACAAGCGGUGGAGCAUGUGGUUUAAUUCGAUGAUACGCGAGGAACCUUACCAGGGCUUAAAUGUAAGUUGCAUAAGUUAGAGAUAGCUUUUUCUUCGGACUACUUACAAGGUGCUGCAUGGUUGUCGUCAGCUCGUGCCGUGAGGUGUCAGGUUAAGUCCUAUAACGAGCGCAACCCCUGUUGUUAGUUGCCAUCGAGUAAUGUCGGGAACUCUAACAAGACUGCCGGUGCAAACCGUGAGGAAGGUGGGGAUGACGUCAAAUCAUCACGGCCCUUACGUCCUGGGCUACACACGUGCUACAAUGGCCGGUACAGAGAGCAGCCACUACGCGAGUAGGAGCGAAUCUAUAAAACCUAGUCGUAGUCCGGAUCGGAGUCUGCAACUCGACUCCGUG